RNAcentral lists this ribosomal RNA (72 nucleotides) under Neisseria sp. HMSC065C04. Lineage: Bacteria; Pseudomonadati; Pseudomonadota; Betaproteobacteria; Neisseriales; Neisseriaceae. The record is from RNAcentral.
UUUGGCGGCCAUAGCGAGUUGGUCCCACGCCUUCCCAUCCCGAACAGGACCGUGAAACGACUCAGCGCCGAU